This 253-nucleotide ribosomal RNA is filed under the name uncultured microorganism. RNAcentral describes it as "partial 16S ribosomal RNA". It matches the Rfam family "Bacterial small subunit ribosomal RNA", at positions 524 to 776 of the family's 1533-position model. The record is from RNAcentral.
UACGUAGGGUGCGAGCGUUAAUCGGAUUUACUGGGCGUAAAGCGUGCGCAGGCGGUCCGUUAAGACAGGUGUGAAAUCCCUGGGCUCAACCUAGGAAUUGCGCUUGUGACUGGCGGGCUCGAGUACGGUAGAGGGGGGUGGAAUUCCUGGUGUAGCAGUGAAAUGCGUAGAGAUCAGGAGGAACACCGAUGGCGAAGGCAGCCCCCUGGGCCUGUACUGACGCUCAUGCACGAAAGCGUGGGGAGCAAACAGG